CAGUGGUCCCACCGUGGCUCG
RNAcentral lists this microRNA (21 nucleotides) under Branchiostoma floridae (Florida lancelet). RNAcentral's name for it is "Bfl-Mir-12489-P2_5p (mature (co-guide))". RNAcentral also lists the same sequence under 1 other name. Lineage: Eukaryota; Metazoa; Chordata; Leptocardii; Amphioxiformes; Branchiostomatidae. The record is from RNAcentral.